Molecule: ribosomal RNA, 253 nt
Filed under: uncultured bacterium
Lineage: Bacteria
Description: partial 16S ribosomal RNA
Rfam family: Bacterial small subunit ribosomal RNA
Source: RNAcentral
UACGUAGGGUGCGAGCGUUGUCCGGAAUUAUUGGGCGUAAAGGGCUUGUAGGCGGUCUGUCGCGUCGAAAGUGAAAACCCAGGGCUUAACCCUGGGCCUGCUUCCGAUACGGGCAGACUAGAGGUAUGCAGGGGAGAACGGAAUUCCUGGUGUAGCGGUGAAAUGCGCAGAUAUCAGGAGGAACACCGGUGGCGAAGGCGGUUCUCUGGGCAUUACCUGACGCUGAGGAGCGAAAGUGUGGGGAGCGAACAGG